UGAAAAUUAUUUAUCAUCCUUCGUAUAUCCUCGAUAAUAUGGUUCGAGAGUCUCUACCGGGUUACCAUUAAUAACCUGACUAUGAAGGCAGAUGAUUCUAUG
This 102-nucleotide non-coding RNA is filed under the name Priestia koreensis. RNAcentral's name for it is "Bacillus koreensis Guanine sequence". It matches the Rfam family "Purine riboswitch aptamer". Rfam says of the family: Riboswitches are metabolite binding domains within certain messenger RNAs that serve as precision sensors for their corresponding targets. Allosteric rearrangement of mRNA structure is mediated by ligand binding, and this results in modulation of gene expression. A class of riboswitches that selectively recognises guanine and becomes saturated at concentrations as low as 5 nM. The record is from Rfam by way of RNAcentral. Lineage: Bacteria; Bacillati; Bacillota; Bacilli; Caryophanales; Bacillaceae.